GAGGUCUUAGCUUAAUUAAAGUGUCUGAGUUGCAUUCAGAUGAUGUGGGGUUCGGUCCUACAGGUCUUCAGGA
RNAcentral lists this transfer RNA (73 nucleotides) under Cyrtodactylus sp. Its description in RNAcentral is "tRNA-Ala". It matches the Rfam family "tRNA". Rfam says of the family: Transfer RNA (tRNA) molecules are approximately 80 nucleotides in length. Their secondary structure includes four short double-helical elements and three loops (D, anti-codon, and T loops). Lineage: Eukaryota; Metazoa; Chordata; Lepidosauria; Squamata; Gekkonidae. The record is from RNAcentral.